AUUACUUUUAUCUAUCAUUAUUAUCUGUGGGUCAAGAAUCCAGAGGUCCAGACUAAGGAGAAUGACAUUAGAGAUUGUAGCCACGUGUCAUUUGGAGCUGGCAUCAUCUGAAGACUUGCUGGGGACCAGAACUUCUAUUUUUCACUUCUUUUGCAUUUCCUCACCUAAGUUGCUAAGUAUUAGAAUACAGAUGUUCACCAGUUUACUAUGAUUUGACUUACGACUUUUUAAAAAUUGAUAAUGAUGGCACACACCUGUAAUCCCAGCACUUGAGAGGCUGAGGCAAGAGGAUUGCAUCAGUUGGAGGCCAGCCUGGGCUACAC
This 323-nucleotide long non-coding RNA is filed under the name Cavia porcellus (domestic guinea pig). RNAcentral describes it as "lncRNA (ENSCPOG00000038180.1)". The record is from RNAcentral. Lineage: Eukaryota; Metazoa; Chordata; Mammalia; Rodentia; Caviidae.